AUUGACCGCUGGCGGCAGGCCUAACACAUGCAAGUCGAGCUGAGAGGCGGACGGGUGAGUAAUGCCUAGGAAUCUGCCUGGUAGUGGGGGAUAACGUCCGGAAACGUGCGCUAAUACCGCAUACUAUAAGAUGAUCCUAGGUCGGAUUAGCUAGUUUGUGGGGUAAAGGCCUACCAAGGCGACGAUCCGUAACUGGUCUGAGAGGAUGAUCAGUCACACUGGAACUGAGACACGGUCCAGACUCCUACGGGAGGCAGCAGUGGGGAAUAUUGGACAAUGGGCGAAAGCCUGAGCCAGCCAUGCGGCGUGUGUGAAGAAGGUCUUCGGAUUGUAAAGCACUUUAAGUUGGGAGGCGUUACCAACAGAAGAAGCACCGGCUAACUUCGUGCCAGCAGCCGCGGUAAUAC
This 407-nucleotide ribosomal RNA is filed under the name uncultured bacterium. Its description in RNAcentral is "partial 16S ribosomal RNA". It matches the Rfam family "Bacterial small subunit ribosomal RNA", at positions 30 to 526 of the family's 1533-position model. The record is from RNAcentral.